GCCGCUGGUGCAAUCUGGGAAACCAGGCACUGGAGGAACGUCCGGACUGCACAGGGCAGCGUAGGAGGUAACACCUCUCCACCGUGAGGUGAGGAUCAGAGCAACAGAGACGAGUCACCUUGGUGCCGCACCGAGGGCGCAAGCCCGAGGUACGAGCAUCCAAGGUGGGUGAAACGGGCAAUCUCUACGCGCAGCAAUACCAAAUAGGCACACGUUGACGGGGCCCCCCGAGUGUGCGGGUAGGUAGCACCGAGCCGGUGGGGCGACCCCCGGCCCAGAUUAAUGGCGGUCACACCGCAGGCGACUGCGGGCGCACAGAAUCCGGCUUAUCGGCCGACUUCACAC
RNAcentral lists this RNase P RNA (345 nucleotides) under Burkholderiales bacterium. RNAcentral describes it as "partial RNase P RNA component class A". It matches the Rfam family "Bacterial RNase P class A". Rfam says of the family: Ribonuclease P (RNase P) is a ubiquitous endoribonuclease, found in archaea, bacteria and eukarya as well as chloroplasts and mitochondria. Its best characterised activity is the generation of mature 5'-ends of tRNAs by cleaving the 5'-leader elements of precursor-tRNAs. Lineage: Bacteria; Pseudomonadati; Pseudomonadota; Betaproteobacteria; Burkholderiales. The record is from RNAcentral.